Molecule: long non-coding RNA, 1913 nt
Organism: Helianthus annuus (common sunflower)
Lineage: Eukaryota; Viridiplantae; Streptophyta; Magnoliopsida; Asterales; Asteraceae
Exons: 10
Source: RefSeq, a predicted model, not a curated record
CACCUUUUCAACACAAGCAUUUUGGGCGGCCAGAUCUAUCCAUUCAAAUUUUGAAUUCCUUUACUCUUCCCAACUCCCAAGGCCAGAUCUAUCCAUUCAACAUUCAUGUUUCUCUAAUGUUCUUCCAUCUUCUCCCAGAGAAAACCUAAUAUUGCCACCACCGCCAUAACACCGCAGCAACAAUAAAAGCCCCACAUACCUUCUCUCUUUAAAGAACUCAAUGCCAUCAGCCACCAUCGCCUCCUACGAAAUCGGCUCCUCCCACAUAACUUUCAUAGCUCAUAACCCACCACAACUUCUUGAUUUAAGGUCGUAUGGCCUGGAUCGGCGGUUUACUGGGCCAAAUCUACAAAUCUUAGGGCAUCAAGUACACAUACUGCUCUGACCGGGUAGAAUUCUAACACACCCUGAAAGCCGACGUCGUUGCUGUGAAGCCCACACACCCCCACGUGUUCAAUGCCGCCGGUCGACCGAACUGUCACACAAGGUGGUAUAUGUUUGAUUUUUAUGUGAUUUCGAAUAAGUGUGUGUGUGAACCCGUUUGAUUUUGAUUGGUUUGUGUUUCAGGGUCUGUGUUCAAACAUCCAAAUCCUCUAUAAAUUAAAGAAGGAAUAAUGCCAACAAAAAGUCGAGAUAAGAGCAAAACAGUGAAGAUGGGAGUGAGGAUUGUUACUCAAUCGACUGGUUAUACGCAGCCUUGGUGGCAUAGGAUUAAAGAUGGGUGCAAGUUAAGAUGCACGUGCAAUGCUCUUGAUGGAGGAUAUCAUAACUCUUGAAUUACUGAUUAGAUGUGGGGAAGAGGAGUCGUUUCUGAUGGUCAAUCUAUUGCUUAUGGAAGUUAUGCUGAAAGGUUCAUGGCCCCUAAUGAACUUUAGUCAGAUCCAAACACAAAGAGCCUGAAGAUCGGUGACCCUUGGUGGCAACGGUCAUGAAGAAGCUAUGGUAGCAGUCGGAAUCAAGAGUAGAUGGAAGCGGUUUUGGGUCGCUAGGGUUCUAUCAUGAACCCAGGCAGUGCUGGCGCCUUAGAAGAGCCCGAUGAUGAUUAGGGAUUGAUUCCAGGUUAUGUUGAAGUUGGGCGAUAUACAUAAAAAAACAAUUUCAUACAUGAUAAAACAAGGGGAAGCUUUGUCUCUUGUGUCGUGCCUAAAAAGAGGCAGAAGUGAAUUAUCUUGGGCAACUUUUGUACCCGAAUCUCGUACAAUUGAUCGGAUAUUGUUUGGAGGACAAACAACGGCUUUUAUUGUACGAAUUCAUGCCUCGUGGGAUCUUGGAAAAUCACUUAUUUAGGAGAGGAUCUUAUUUUCAACCACUAUCGUGGAGUCUUCGGUUAAAGGUUGCUCUCGGAGCUGCUAAAGGACUUGCUUUUCUUCAUGGUGCGAAAGCAAAAGUGAUUUAUCGCGAUUGCAAGACUUCUAAUGCGUUGCUAGAUUCGGACUACAACGCAAAGCUAUCAGAUUUCGUGGCUAGCCAAGGAUGGACCGAUCGGUGAUAAGAGCCAUGUCUUGACUAGAGUCAUGGGGACGUACGGAACUGCCCAAUUGGUAAUAAGAGCCAUGUCUCGACUAGAGUCAUGGGAUUUGAUCUUUUGCUGAUGUGUAUAAGCUCAUGCUACCAUGAACAAGUACACUUGGGAACUGCCGUUGACUCCAUCAGGUCUGCAAGUUUGUGGAUGACAGAAUGCCCAUUAAGAAGACAAGUUCUACUUUAGUGAAACAUGGUUCUGAAAAGAAGACAAGUUCCACCAUGUUAUAGUGAUGUUAUAAAUCUACACUGGUCGUUGAGUUCGAUGUGAAACCAGGCAUGGGUUACUUUUGUGAUUCAUUUGUCAUGUAAAUUUUAUAUAAAAUAAACCCCACCUUCCCUUGUAUGGCAACAAGUUACUUCAUAUACAGUAAGACUUCAUUUACGUUGUA